Molecule: long non-coding RNA, 909 nt
Organism: Populus trichocarpa (black cottonwood)
Lineage: Eukaryota; Viridiplantae; Streptophyta; Magnoliopsida; Malpighiales; Salicaceae
Exons: 2
Source: RefSeq, a predicted model, not a curated record
AAUGAGGGACAGUUAAUACUUAAUAACGCAAGCUUGUCUUGAAGAAGAAAAACAAAGCCAUAAAUCCCACCUAAAACCCCUCCACCGCUUUUCUCUCUUCAUCUUCGGCUUUGAAGCAAGAACAAGAGGCAGAGGUAGAUCGAUCGAACCUACAAAAGGUCAAGAUAGAGCUUUGGUUCUUUACUUGUUCUGUGGCAGAUCGAGCUCUUGGUCCAAAAUACAUUGAGAAAGUCCUGACUUGGAUAAUCCAUGAAACACUUAUCUCCAGGGUGAGGCCAAGACUGCUGAAGUGAUUUCUCAUUCCUUGCACCAAGAAAAAAUGAUGCUGCUAGAGAGAUUGCUCUGGUUAUAUCAAAUGCGAAGAACAAGGUGUUCUAGAAUGCCGGUGGCCUUCUGCUGAACCUUCAAGAGAUGGGUUUGGCAAACCCAAUCAAUAGAAAAUAGUUAGCAGUGAAGUUAAAGCUUUUGGUCUAUGCACUUGUUUCAGUAUUCACGUUAUGAAUGACUAGAAUAUUGAGGAACGAUUGAUACAACAGGAUGAAUACAAAUGGCAAGACAAGUGCAUGUGGGGCACCAAAUUUCCUUGCACCCAUUUUUUCUUAAUUCCCCGUUAAGUUUUCAAUAGGAUUAAUAAAUGAUUUCAGAUGCACAGGCUUCCUGCUGCAUGUUUUAGGAAAAUCUUGAUGGAAUAAAUGUCCAAACCAAAUGGGAACUUUAAAUCCCCCCUGUGGCUUCUAGAAUCCAUCUUAUACGACAGAAAUUCUAGCUCCAGAGAAGACUUGCAGGGACUUUUGCCCUUGAACACUGUUGUUUUACCUGGAAAGAGCCCCAGUUUGUGGACCAAAUUUUUGAGGUUGGAUGCUUUUGUAAGAAUGGAAUUUAUCUUCCAAUUUUAUCAUCUGCAAGGUA